UCUAUCUCUCUGUCUGUAGCCAGUUGCAUUCUCGCUCUGUCUGUCUCCUCCUGCUUACCUUACACACUGGUCUCUAACGAAGGGGGCGGGGCAGGCAUGUAGCUAGCCAUUCAUUCAGAUCCUGGUAUUAGGCCAUGGUAUAAAGGUGCCUAGUAGGUCGGACUGUCUUCCUCUCGGUCUCUCGCUCGGUUUGUCCCUGGGUUUCACGCAGGAGCCAAUCGCCAGCUCUGCGUCUCCCUUACUCUGCCGUGGCUGUAUGGAACCUGACCUGUCUAGCAUUAGAUAACUCUCCCCUGCAGCUUAUGACGAUGGCACGGCGUGUGUUUUAAGCGUUCUUUAGGCCUACUGGCUAAUCAGUGACUGCAAGUGUUUGGCCUGUGGGUUAUCUUCGGCGGGGGGUAGCUAGUCACCUGGUGGCGGGCUUGUGAACUUCACUUUGGAGUGUACUAUGGAAUAUCGGUGGUGGCUUGCUGUGACAAUGGUGUAACACUUUUCUGCAGUGAGAGUGCACGUGUGGACACCUUCCUUGAUAGUCUGCUUCCCCCCCAUCCAGGUCUGUGGAAUACACUUCCCUGAUGGCAGACCAACUAAAGAGCACCCAUACCCAGUAUUGCAGAUGGGAUAUGAACCUCAUGCUGGACUUCUGCCACCUGGUCGAGCCCCCCCAAAAAGAUGUGUUGAGCCCCUUACAGUCAACGCCCUACAAGUUUUACUCGCAAGGUUUAUGAAAGAAAAAAAUAAUAGCUUGGUUGCCUAGAGAUACUCUGGAGAGAAUAAGGCCUCAGAGCUUCAGUGUACAUUAUCCCAAAGCAACAUGCAUUAUAGACUGUACAGAGAUAUUUGUACAAAGGCCAAAGAACUUAAGGAAACGAGCCCAAACAUACAGUAAUUACAAGCACCAUAACACGUACAAAGCCCUAUAUUGCAUAGCUCCCAAUGGCUUUGUGAUGUUUGUGUCCAAAUUGUUUGGUGGGAGGGCUAGUGAUACUUUUAUCACACGGAACAGUGGUCUUAUUAGUCAUCUGAUUCCUGGUGAUCAAGUUUUGGCAGACCGUGGAUUCACCAUCACAGAUGUUUUGCCUCCAGGAGUGACGUUGGCCAUACCAGCGUUUACACGUGGCUGUAAAGAACUUCCGGAGCAUGAAGUUACACGGACACGUCGCUUGGCAAAUGUCAGAAUUCACGUAGAGCGUGCUAUUAGACGAUUGAAAGGUUUUAAAAUUUUGAGUAAUAUUAUCCCAGGUAGAAUACAACAUGUUGAUGACAUUGUAACUAUUUGUGCGGGGCUUUGUAACUUGCAACCUCAGUUAAUUCGAGAGGAAAUUGAGGGAAAAGCAUCUGAUCUGGAUGAAGAUGAGCACAUUGAUGAGCAACAAGAAGGUGAUGAAUACUCAUGGGACAUGGCAGAGGACAUUGAGGGAAACCACUUGUUUUAGUAUUAUUGUGUACUGUAUAGUUACAUAUGUGAUGUGAAGAGCUGCCUGCCACACACACACACACACACACAGAGAGAUACAUACACACAUAGACUCAAGUCUAGACAGUCUCCUACAGUUCUAUUUUAAUCUUA
Molecule: long non-coding RNA, 1570 nt
Organism: Alosa alosa (allis shad)
Lineage: Eukaryota; Metazoa; Chordata; Actinopteri; Clupeiformes; Clupeidae
Exons: 6
Source: RefSeq, a predicted model, not a curated record